Molecule: ribosomal RNA, 506 nt
Filed under: uncultured bacterium
Lineage: Bacteria
Description: partial 16S ribosomal RNA
Rfam family: Bacterial small subunit ribosomal RNA
Source: RNAcentral
GAUGAACGCUAGCGACAGGCUUAACACAUGCAAGUCGAGGGGCAGCAUGGCUUUGGUUUACUAAAGCUGAUGGCGACCGGCGCACGGGUGAGUACCGCGUAUGCAACUUACCUGUCAGUAGGGCAUAACCCGGCGAAAGUCGGACUAAUUCCCUAUGAUACAGUUUUACCGCAUGGUAUGAUUGUUAAAGAUUUAUUGCUGACAGAUGGGCAUGCGUUCCAUUAGGUUGUUGGUGAGGUAACUGCUCACCAAGCCUUCGAUGGAGCGGGGAACUGAGAGGUUGGUCCCCCACACUGGUACUGGGACGCGGUCCAGACUCCUACGGGAGGCAGCAGUGAGGAAUAUUGGUCAAUGGGCGAAAGCCUGAACCAGCCAAGUCGCGUGAAGGAUGAAGGAUUUAUAGUUCGUAAACUUCUUUUAUUGGGGAAUAAUUUGCGUGACGUGUCCUGUAUUUUAUGUACCCAUUGAAUAAGGAUAGGCUAACUCCGUGCCAGCCGCCGCCGUAA